RNAcentral lists this ribosomal RNA (417 nucleotides) under uncultured soil bacterium. RNAcentral describes it as "bacterial SSU rRNA". It matches the Rfam family "Bacterial small subunit ribosomal RNA", at positions 26 to 435 of the family's 1533-position model. The record is from RNAcentral.
AGGACGAACGCUGGCGGCGCGCUUAACACAUGCAAGUCGAGCGAGAACCAGGACUUCGGUCCUGGGGACAGCGGCGAACGGGUGAGUAACACGUGGAUAACCUGCCCUCGGCACCGGGAUAGCCCGAGGAAACUCGGAUUAAUACCGGAUAGCCCUUCCGACUCUCGAGUCGGUCCGAAAAGGUAGCUUCGGCCUCUGGCCGAGGAUGGGUCCGCGGCGGAUUAGCUUGUUGGUGGGGUAACGGCCUACCAAGGCUUCGAUCCGUAGCUGGUCUGAGAGGACGAUCAGCCACCCUGGGACUGAGACACGGCCCAGACUCCUACGGGAGGCAGCAGUGGGGAAUCUUGCGCAAAUGGGCGAAAAGCCUGACGCAGCGACGCCGCGUGAGGGAAGAAGGCCUGGUUGUAACUACUUCUA